Salvelinus sp. IW2-2015 is the source of this 332-nucleotide long non-coding RNA. RefSeq lists it as uncharacterized. Lineage: Eukaryota; Metazoa; Chordata; Actinopteri; Salmoniformes; Salmonidae. The record is from RefSeq and is a predicted model, not a curated record.
CUUUGCGUCCUGCAGGCCCAGGCAUGGAUCAAAGCUGGCGAGACAUUUGAUAAUGUCAUCUUCACAGACAAAUCACCCGUGGCCUUUGAGCAAUUUGCUCAAAAUUGCUACAGAAAAAAAGGAAGAAGAUCAAGCAAGCCGAGUCCCAAGCAUCCGCUCAAACUCCAUGUGUGGGGGGCAAUUUCUCGCCAGGCACGAGGCCCAUAUUGGAUUUUUGAUGAUAUCAUGGCUCGAGAUUUCUUUGAGGAACAUGACGGUCAGAGAGGUGUUUCUCGGUACACAUAAUUUCUUUCAAGACAAUGACCCAAAACACAUUGCCACCUGGGUUUGCA